UCAGGAUGAACGCUGGCAGCGUGGCUAAGGCAUGCAAGUCGAACGGUCUUUAUUUGAAAAUUUAUUUUUGGAUAAAGAUAGUGGCAAACGGGUGAGUAACACACUGGUAACCUACCUCCAACACAGGCACAACAUUGAGAAAUCGAUACUAAUACCUGAUAUGCUCGAUUGACAUAAGUCAAUUGUGUAAAAGUUCGCUGGUUGGAGAGGGGCCUAUGGCUCAUCAGCUAGUUGGUAAGAUAAAAGCUUACCAAGGCUAUGACGAGUAGCGGGUGUGAGAGCACGAUCCGCCUCAAUGGGACUGAGACACUGCCCAUACUCCUACGGGAGGCUGCAGUCAAGAAUCUUCCCCAAUGGACGAAAGUCUGAGGGAGCGACGCUGCGUGAAUGAAGACGCCCUUCGGGGUGUAAAAUUCUUUUAUUAGUGAGGAACAAAUGACGUUAACUAAUGAAUAAGGGGCUGCUAACCUCGUGCCAGCAGCAGCGGUGAUACGAGGGCCCCAAGCGUUAUCCGGAUUUAUUGGGCGUAAAGGGUCCGUAGGCGGUCUUUUAAGUUAAAUGUUAAAUUUCAGGGCUUAACUCUGAAACCGCAUUUAAUACUGGAAGACUAGAGACCGGAAGAGGCAUGUGGAAUUGCCGGUGUAGUAGUCAAAUGCGUUAAUAUCGGCAGGAACACCAAAUGCGAAGGCAUCAUGCUAGGACGGUUCUGACGCUGAGGGACGAAAGCGUGGGUAGCGAAUGGGAUUAGAUACCCCAGUAGUCCACGCCGUAAACGAUGGGUACUAGGCAUUGGAAGUGUCGACCCUUUCAGUGUCGUUUAACUAAGCUAACGCGUUAAGUACCCCGCCUGAGGAGUACGACCGCAAGGUUAAAACUCAAAGGAAUUGACGGGAACCCGCACAAGCAGUGGAGCAUGUGGUUUAAUUCGAUGAUGAGCGGAGAACCUUACCAGGGCUUGAUAUCUAGCUGCACGUCUCCCGAAAGGGAGAAAGCCUAAGAGGGUGCUAGACAGAUGCUGCAUGGUCGUCGUCAGCUCGUGGCGUGAGUUGUACGGUUAAGUCCGGUAACGAGCGCAACCCCUACACUGUGUUACACUUUCACAGAGAACUGCCCCGCAUAACGGGGAGGAAGGUGGGGAUGAUGUCAGAUCAGCAUGGUUCUUACGCCCUGGGCUACACGCAUGCUACAAUGGCUGGUACAAUGGGUCGCGAAAUCGCGAGAUGGAGCUAAUCCCAUCAAAACCAGUCUCAGUUCGGAUUGAAGGCUGCAAUUCGCCUUCAUGAAGCUGGAAUUGCUAGUAACCGCGGAUCAGCUACGUCGCGGUGAAUACGUUCUCGGGUUUUGUAC
This 1347-nucleotide ribosomal RNA is filed under the name metagenome. Its description in RNAcentral is "bacterial SSU rRNA". It matches the Rfam family "Bacterial small subunit ribosomal RNA", at positions 24 to 1386 of the family's 1533-position model. The record is from RNAcentral.